This 749-nucleotide long non-coding RNA is filed under the name Cyanistes caeruleus (blue tit). Its description in RNAcentral is "lncRNA (ENSCCEG00000001621.1)". The record is from RNAcentral. Lineage: Eukaryota; Metazoa; Chordata; Aves; Passeriformes; Paridae.
CUUAUUAGGCUGUGUCAGGUGACUGUGGAAAAACUUAAAUUCUGAAUAGACCAAACAUGUUUAAAAUUCCACCAAACUUGCAAUGUCCAAGCGUUGAUGAGAAGUACAGGCUCUGGGCACUGCAGAUACCAGCUGGUCUGAACUGAAACAUGUGUGACUAGAUCCCCGAAGUGCUGGUGCCCCCUCUCACUGUCACAAGCCUCACUUGUUUUGAAGCUCUUGGAACUGAACAUCUUGUCUUGCCUUGGGGAAACCUGGUGCACGUCAAGCAGCUAUCACAGGUGUUCUUUGGGUGAGAGGUUCUGACUUGCUUUUCCUUCUGCAUAGGAAGAAGGAGAUGAAUUGAUUAUCAAGUGAGAUGAGGUGCAGCAGAAUUUGUAUUCAGCAGUGACAGAAUUAAUUUUGGAAGGGGAUCAACCGCCCUUGUCUGAGGACUCAAGAGCAUUACAGUUUAGAACUACUGUGCAACAAGGGACCAGAAGCCCAGCCAGAAUCACUGUCACCAAAGCAGCCUGAAGUGAAGAAGGAUGUAGACUCCAAUAGACAAAUUCACUGCUUUUCAGUCUGCACACUGGCUUGUGCUUGCCAAUUACAUGAGUGGAAGUAAGGGAAAACAACUUUCCCUUGACAUUUUUGGAAGUCAAGACUGAUAGGUGUAAUUUGUAACAAAACACAUUAUCCCUUAAUUGCUAGCAGCAUGGAAAAGGCUUGAAUUAGUGGGGAAAGGGAUUCUUUAAAAGCCUUUUGAC